UGGGGAAUCUUCCGCAAUGGGCGAAAGCCUGACGGAGCAACGCCGCGUGAGUGAUGACGGCCUUCGGGUUGUAAAGCUCUGUGAUCGGGGACGAACGGUCAGCAGACGAAUACUCUGCUGAAGUGACGGUACCCGAAUAGCAAGCCACGGCUAACUACGUGCCAGCAGCCGCGGUAAUACGUAGGUGGCAAGCGUUGUCCGGAAUUAUUGGGCGUAAAGCGCGCGCAGGCGGCUUCUUAAGUCCAUCUUAAAAGUGCGGGGCUUAACCCCGUGAUGGGAUGGAAACUGAGAGGCUGGAGUAUCGGAGAGGAAAGUGGAAUUCCUAGUGUAGCGGUGAAAUGCGUAGAGAUUAGGAAGAACACCGGUGGCGAAGGCGACUUUCUGGACGACAACUGACGCUGAGGCGCGAAAGCGUGGGGAGCAAACAGGAUUAGAUACCCUGGUAGU
RNAcentral lists this ribosomal RNA (447 nucleotides) under uncultured Dialister sp. Its description in RNAcentral is "bacterial SSU rRNA". It matches the Rfam family "Bacterial small subunit ribosomal RNA", at positions 355 to 794 of the family's 1533-position model. The record is from RNAcentral. Lineage: Bacteria; Bacillati; Bacillota; Negativicutes; Veillonellales; Veillonellaceae.